Molecule: long non-coding RNA, 590 nt
Organism: Gigantopelta aegis
Lineage: Eukaryota; Metazoa; Mollusca; Gastropoda; Neomphalida; Peltospiridae
Exons: 2
Source: RefSeq, a predicted model, not a curated record
CAUGUUUGGGGUUUGGAAAAGAAGAUUUCCUUGUCUAAAUUUCGGAAUACGAAUGAAACUGCAGUGAACACUUGUGGUAAUUUCUGCAGCAGCUGUUCUAUACCAGCUAUUAAAAUUGUGGAAUGUACCUGAACCAGAAUACGAGGGGGACAACGAAGACGACAACAACGACGACAACGAUGACGACGCUCGUCAUCUUUACUUACCACCGCUGGGUGAAGCUGUAAAUAGACGGGCAGACAUUCGUGGACAAACAAGAAGACGUGCUAUUGUGGAGGAUUGCUUUACUAAUUGACAAGCUUAACAAGAUUUGUCACGAGAAACACACCUCACGGUUGAUGUAGAUGGUUGUGGUUGUUGUUUUGCAGUGGCUUCUGACGUAUUUGAUGUAUUGGUUUCGACAUUUUCGGUGAUUUCCGAGUGUACAAAGGUUGAUGCAGGUGUUUCAUGAGUGAUGGCCAUCUGAACAUUUGCAGUGACAUCUACAACAUACAUGUACAUUUAUUACUGUAUAAUUAGUUUAUAAAUAUUGUAUUAUUUGUUUAAUUUUAUAUGUUAAUGGUAAAAAUAAAUGUGUGUAUUAUGGUGAA